GCCCUGCUGGCGCAAUGGUAGCGCGCCAGACUUCUAUUACUUGAAAUCUGGAGGUUGCGGUACGUGUGAUUGAACAAACUCUACGCGAGUUGCA
Molecule: non-coding RNA, 94 nt
Organism: Elasticomyces elasticus
Lineage: Eukaryota; Fungi; Ascomycota; Dothideomycetes; Mycosphaerellales; Teratosphaeriaceae
Source: the annotation of a GenBank genome assembly